Molecule: ribosomal RNA, 478 nt
Filed under: uncultured bacterium
Lineage: Bacteria
Description: partial 16S ribosomal RNA
Rfam family: Bacterial small subunit ribosomal RNA
Source: RNAcentral
GAUGAACGCUGGCGGCGUGCCUAACACAUGCAGGUCGAACGGAGUCCAGCCUUUAAGACCUUCGGGUCAAAGAGGGGAAGACUGAGUGGCGGACGGGUGAGUAACACGUGGGCAACCUGGCUCAUAGAGGGGGAUAACAGAGAGAAAUUUCUGCUAAUACCGCAUAAGCACACACUGCCGCAUGGCAGAGGGUGAAAAGAGAAUCGCUAUGAGAUGGACCCGCGUCUGAUUAGCCAGUUGGCAGGGUAAGAGCCUACCAAAGCGACGAUCAGUAGCCGAUCUGAGAGGAUGAACGGCCACAUUGGGACUGAGACACGGCCCAAACUCCUACGGGAGGCAGCAGUGGGGGAUAUUGCACAAUGGGGGGAACCCUGAUGCAGCGACGCCGCGUGAGUGAAGAAGUAUUUCGGGAUGUAAAGCUCUAUCAGCAGGGAAGAUAAUGACAGUACCUGAAUAAGAAGCCCCGGCUAACUACGUG